GCAGCUUUGCAGGCGCUGGGGCUCCCAAAGGACGGAGCUUUGAAUCCACCUGGGAGGCUUAAGAGAAAGUGCUGAGUCCCCCAUGCCCUACCCCUGAGACUGCUGACAGGCAUCGCUGAGGGCUGCAGCUUUGGAAUCGGGCAUCUUCUGAGGAAGAGAAAGGCACCACAGCCACGGCACAGAAGACUAGGGGAGCCAGCUUCAGCUUUUGCCAAGUGUUUGGUUCAUCUGACGCUUGGUGAAGUCACAUGCAUCUGCUGCCCUGACAUCCAGGAGAAGGAACCAUCUGGCUCAAGAAUCCAUUACAGAAGAGGCCGUCAGCACCCGUCACUUGUGCCUCCCCAUGUCCAGCUGAGUUUCUUUCUCUCUGCUCAACUCCAAAGUGUUGAUGAGUCAAUCGAUGCGGCCCUUGCCACUGCGUCUCACUGGGAAUUCCGUUCUAGGUGCAAUGUUUUAAGGGGAAGACUUACACUAUGAAGCUAGCCCAGAAGAGGGUGACUAGAGUACUGAGGAGUUUCUACCUGGAAGGGCUGUAAGACAACUGCUAUGUUGUGAGCGGCUCUAUGGAGAGGCCCAUGUGGAGGGAAGUGAGGAAGGCCUCUGGCCAACAGUCCAGGAGGAAGUGAAGCCCUCAGUCCAACAGCCUGUGUGGAACUGAACCCUGCAAACAACUCUGUGUGUGAGCUUGGAAGUGGAUCCAUAUUCAGUCAAACCUUGAGAUGGGACACCAUGCUCUGCUAACACUUGAUUGUGGUCCCAGCUAGGCCACUGCUGAAGUCUUGACUCAGAGAAACGAUGAUAUAGUAAAUGUUUGUUGUUUCAAGUUGGUAAGUUUUGGGAUAAUUUUUUAUAUAGUGAUAAUUUUUUAUAUACUUUAAAAUAACACAUUGCCCUAUCCUUUGGUUACACUUUUCUCUUGGAACUCUGCUUGCCCAUAUAUUACAGAAAUAUUUUUCAGAUCAUGGGCUGAAAGGUGGAUUAUGGAUGCAAUGUUUAAAUUUAGCAAUGUCAUUUAUGACUGUUCAUAUGAGCUUUGCUGCAUAAAAUGUUGA
Molecule: long non-coding RNA, 1052 nt
Organism: Homo sapiens (human)
Lineage: Eukaryota; Metazoa; Chordata; Mammalia; Primates; Hominidae
Product: long intergenic non-protein coding RNA 2351
Source: Ensembl